Molecule: transfer RNA, 61 nt
Filed under: Rhipicephalus maculatus
Lineage: Eukaryota; Metazoa; Arthropoda; Arachnida; Ixodida; Ixodidae
Description: tRNA-Glu
Source: RNAcentral
AUUUAAAUAGUGUAAAUUAACACUUAACUUUUUCAUUGUUAGAAUCCUUCUGGUUUAAAUU